CAAUUGUCAAUUGUGAAUAGGCUAAUUUUUUGUGUAGUUAUUUAUGUUCUAUAUACCAAUAUUGUACAUAAAAUGUCAUUACAGAGAGAGAAAGAGAUUGAAGAGAGACUUUAGACUGUUAAAAGAGAGUGGAUCCCAGAAGUGCUAUCUAUAUGUUGGGCAAUAAAUGUCCAGAGGUGAUAAAUUAGGAUUUUUAAAGACAGACUCACUAUCAGUAUCAAAUUAUAUAAAUGCAUUUUUAUGUUGUCUGAGAAAGACACAAAACAGCUAUAUCAAAUCCUCUGCCAUUUAUGUGUAUGUGGGGUCUAAAUGUGUUCCUUUGCCCCGAUAGAUGAACUUUUAGGGGGCCGAUAAGGAGAAAGCUUCACCCCGACCUCAUCCUUCCCAUCUUGCCUGCCUUCAGUGGAACACAUUUAUUGUUAAUUUUAGUUAUAUUAACACGUUUUAACAUUACACAAAACACUCAUGUCCGUAAAUGCCUGGAAGAUGUUUCAUUUUUUAAACAUUGUUUUCGGUACCCACCGUGCAGUCUUUUAAUAUCCGUCCCUGUGUUUCUGCAGUCUUUCAGUGGCAGCAGCACCAGGCAGGUGUAUGCCCAUACCACCCACAUGUUUACAGCUUUUGGUUUGAGCUGCUAGCUGUAGAUGUUUUUUGGCACCCUCCAUCCUUCCAGACAUUUCCUUCAGCUCCAUUUUUACUGCAGAGCUACCGAAGCUGCAAGGUAGAAAUGUAGAGAUACAGACAACUCCCUCAUCUUAACAGCCUCAGUGACGGUCUUAUCAUAGUUUCUUUUUUAUGGUGAACAUGGAAGUGAAGUGACAUUUAUUAUAAACUUCAAGCUCGUCUCUUCAGAUGGAUUCAAACGUCACAGAUGUGCCAGUUCUGCAAACAUGAGUGCAGGUUAGCGAUAUCGCUAUUUUCCAUUUCUGGGUUUUACUUUGGUUAGUUCUCACUGCCAGCUGGAGAGCAAAGGUGCAAAGUCUUUAAGCGCAUCAAUACGACAGCAUUUCUGAAAGAGAAGUGAAUAUUUUUAGGCUUGUAAUCACACACAAAACAAAAGAAAAUCAGUAUAAAACUUGGAUUUUUCUUUUUUUUGUUUUCCUUUUUUGCAGAGUAGCCAGUGUUCAAUAUUGUUGACUUAACAAGACGAUUUUAUGAGUCUUUUUGAAAGAAAUAUCGUGCAAAUUCAGGUUUCUCAGCGAGGAGGCUGAGGUUUUUUUGAACAUUUUGAUAAUGAAAUGACUGCUGUUUGGUCAUUUGGUGCUUAUAGAUGUGUGUUUCUGACCUUGAGGAGGAUUGUUCCUCAUGCGGGAGCAUGCCGUUCUUAACUUUGUGACGCAGAAAACCGAUGUUCUGUCAAAAGCAAAAUGUCUUAACCCUAAAAAUCCUGAACCGAACUGUCUUUGACCACAACUGGAUCCCUGAGCAGCGUGUCAGACCUCAAGUAGUCUUACCUCACUGACUUCUCUUAUCAGUAAUUAAAAACGGCAGUUCAGCUUUUGUGUUGUAUCGCCCCACAACAAGCCGUCUGUCUGUACGCUCAUGUGUGGGGUUCCUAUGCAUCUUCAGAUCUCAAAAGUCUGGUGGAGUGAUUUGAAAUUGGCCGACAAAGCAAUGUGUAGGGACUCGUUAGGACCUAUGACGUGUGUAUUAAAUGCAUUAUAGCCUACAGGUCUGUACAAAACCAGCUCUACCAAAACUCCUUCUGCAUGCUUCAUUCAUGUGCUAACCUUUAUGUUUCAAGGACCUUAAUUCAGCUACCUUUUGUAGGGUGCUCAUUGUUUAUGGUUUUUAUGUAAAUCAAUAUUUUAUUAUUUUUUUUUAAAAAACGGUGAAAUUUGAAUUGGCCUGUCCAGAAAUACCUCUCCAGGUAUUUCUUCUCCUCCUCUUUGUUCUUCUUAAUCUACUUGCUACAAUAAAUUUGCAAGCAUAGAAAGUGAUUAAAAACCAAAAACAAUGAGCCUGGCCAUGUUCUCAGCUCGUGGAAGAGUGUUGUGUUUGUACUAAUCCCUGCAAACGUAAUGUAAUAUCUGUGUGAUAUUAUGUCUUUGUAAGUGCAGACUUGGUGUUUUAAAGGCUUAUACUGAUUAUUUCGUAGUACUCGGACGAGUGUCGAGUACGCUUCCCGGAGCUAUCACUGACACUGAGAUCUGUGUUUUAAGUCCUCUGGUUUGCAGUCCUAGAUCGUGAUCGUGUUUUCUGCCGUUCGGCUGUCACAACUCGUUUGGAGUUCUCGUCGUGUUUGGUUGUCACUGAUUAAAUCUCUUUACUGUAAUUCAGCGAUUGAGCUGUAAAACAUCCGACAAGGUGCUACUGUACUCACGACUACAAACGGAAAAGGUAUAACACAGGACACUGCUCCGGAAACGCCCUUGUUUCACAUCCACCUUUAAACAUUCACUUUUUCCCUGCUUUGAUCGUUAGUGUGCUCAUCCUGGCCAUCGUUCGCCACGAUGAAGUCUUUCCAAAUGUUUCAAUCUGAAUCAUCUCUAAAGCCUUGAGCAGUUUACCUUGAUGAAACCUUCUGGAUCUGUUGCAUUUGUGUGUCGAUGAAAACUAAAAAUAAAAUUUAAUGAGCCCAAAUAGAACAACUCCAAGGCUUUUUCUGUCACACAAAGAGCAAAAUUCUUGGAUAUGACAAUGGUGUGCAGCUUUUACGUCACAAUUAGAAUUGUUUUGCCUCUCGUGCUUGUUUAGUUCUAAAAGCCCUGUGACCUGACGGAAAGGUGGAAAGGGCGAGGUCUUCGCCGCAGUGGCGGUCAGGCUGCGUCUCUGCUGCUGGUGCUCUCUAUGGUGCUAACAACUAUACACUUCAAACUUCAGAGACAGGGAGGAACUGUGUCGCGAAGCUCUCGUUCUCCUGCCGCCGUACGUGCUCCAGUCCUUGGGCGUCUGAUGAAGAAGGUGCUCGAUCCCCACCCUACUUUAAGAUUGGGUUUCCCUACUUGUCUGGGCUCGCUUUGGAAAGGAAACAGAGGGAAUUUUAAAUAAGUCAUAGACUGUGACGGGGCUGAUGCUGUGAAAAAUAAAAGAAAAGUGGUGAGAAAUUGGGUGCACCAGCUGCAAUUUCGUGCCUCAAAGAGAAACUCGCACUUAUUACAGGCUUCACUGGUGAGAUGUUUGCGCCUCCGAGUUCGAUUGAGUCUCACUCCAAUUUCUAACAGAUAAUUGGCUCUGAAAGACUAGAACAUCCAUGAAUUUAAAGUCGUGUACAGCUGGUUGUGUUUUCGUCUACACGUUUCUCUCAGGAGGUUCGACCUUCUCGCCACCCGUGUGUAGAUGAUGCUGGCCGCAUCUUGCGCCAGAACAGAUCAAUGUUCGCCUUUUUAUUAGGACUAACAUUGAGACAUCAGUGCUGCUAUGGCUGACAGGCAGGAUAAGAGGCUUCCAGGAGGCCUGCAGAUGGUGUUGCUAUCUGCUCUGAAAUGUCUCUGGCUCAUCUCUGCUUUGACCCUGAUCUCCUGUCAGCCUGUUUGUUAGCUCCUGCUGGGAUCUCGGUGAAGCCCGGCCAAAGUUUAGCCGCUUCACGUGGACCGUCGAGUCUGAGCAGAGCGAGUUUGCUCCACCGCCAUGACGGGAAGAUGAGUAAACAGUUUAUUCAGGCCGCUUUGAACAGUUUUCUGAGCUCGGAAACUUUCCUCCUCAGCGGCAGCCGCAUUCAUUUCAGCUUUCAUUUCAGGCUUGUUGGCAGCAGAAUUAUUUCUGGCAACUUCAAAUGGCUCUCCUGUGUUUACUCUGCUGUAAUAAGCGUCCACUCUGGGAGUCUGGUAGCUUUCUUUGUUACCCAGCUCUCUUUCUCCCUCGUUUGAGUUCUCUGCAAGGCGCAGCAAUCUCACAGGCUGGCUUUGUGUGCAGCAGAGACUGAGACCUCACUUGUAUGAACCACAUGAGCCACGUGAACUGAAACGGUCCAAAAAAAUAUAGAUUUCAUUUGGCCGGGGUGUCUCUUCAGAGCGUUUUGGAGCCGGCAGCCCUCGAGGGCACAGCGUCACGCUGCCACAGGUGGUACAGUUUGAAGAGCAAAUGUUUGCUUAAAUUAUGGAUUGUUUUGCUGCUUCGGGUGAUUGUUCACUGCCGAUCGGGGCAACAAAGUCUCAUUUGCAAAGGCGCAGCAGUUGCGAACGACUCCAAACUAUCAGCUUUAGCAACUCAGAACGAAUCGGUCAUCUGCUACUAAAUCUCACAGUGACAUUCCCCUGAUGUUAUCACCUGAUCUGUCCAGUUUUGUAUAAAUAUUUAUUUAUGCUGAAAAAGUGACCUCUGCAGUAGUUUUUAAGUGUUUGAGAUUUAUGCUCUUGCUCAUAAUUUUGCAGUUUUUUUCCCCCUUUCUUUGUGAAACUGAGCAGACUCGUACAGGAAAAAUGGCUUAAAUUAUGACUCAUUCCCCCUCUUUCAUAUUAAAUAAAGUGUCGUCUUCGCAAUGUGUGACAAAACACAUGGGUCGUAUUCAUUAGGUCAAGUUUAUUUAAAAAAAAAAAAGAAGAAAAAAAAGGUAUGAAUGUGGCAAUGUGGUUAUUGUAUUGGCAAGGAAAACGUGCAAUAUACAGUUCCCAGAUGGUUCCAGCCUUUUUUAAAAAUUUUGAAAUGAUUUUUCUUUUUCCAGUCAGGUCCUCAGGUCACUAAAUGCCUUCUGGUCCUGAGGGUGACCAGGGAAUCUCAGAACAUACACUAAUGCACCCAAAAUUCAAACGACUGGAUUUUAUUUUAGUCUCUUCUUGUUUUCCUGCUCCGCCGCUCUUCUUGUCACAAAUACCCCAGACUUUUUUUUUUCUUUUUGGGUUUUGGUUUGCUUUCAGGUUAACACAGACUCUUAUUCUGGUGUCCUUUUCCUUGCCUCCUUUUGUAUUAUUGUUAUUUAUUGCACAUGUAAUGAGUUGGUCUCCACUGUCAUUUAAUUCAAGGAGUUUUGGGGCUGGAAUUUCUUUCAUACAAAACUACAGAAGCUUUUGUCAAAACCUAAGUGUGUAUUUCAUCAAUAAAUGCCUUUAAAAGUGCUUCUGGUGCCGUGUUGAUUGGAUUUCUUUGGAUUUGGAAGGCCGCCAUUGAUUUUGUUUAUUUAACGUAGACAAAAAAUGUAAAAUGCACAUUAGAAUACACAGGCCAUUAGAUCAAUCUGUACUCAGCUGCCACUUUGUAAGGUACUCCUCUUCAGCUGCCUGCAAACACAUCUAAUCAGCCAGUCACUUGGCAAGAACGCUGUGCAUUUAGGCUUGUAGAUAUUUUAAGUGGUUUUG
Oreochromis aureus is the source of this 5234-nucleotide long non-coding RNA. The record is from Ensembl. NCBI's taxonomy places the organism in Eukaryota, Metazoa, Chordata, Actinopteri, Cichliformes, Cichlidae.